This 490-nucleotide ribosomal RNA is filed under the name uncultured bacterium. RNAcentral's name for it is "partial 16S ribosomal RNA". It matches the Rfam family "Bacterial small subunit ribosomal RNA", at positions 30 to 507 of the family's 1533-position model. The record is from RNAcentral.
AUUGAACGCUGGCGGCAGGCCUAACACAUGCAAGUCGAACGGUAACAGGAAGAAGCUUGCUUCUUUGCUGACGAGUGGCGGACGGGUGAGUCAUGUCUGGGAAACUGCCUGAUGGAGGGGGAUAACUACUGGAAACGGUAGCUAAUACCGCAUAACGUCGCAAGACCAAAAAGGGGGACCUUCGGGCCUCUUGCCAUCGGAUGUGCCCAGAUGGGAUUAGCUAGUAGGUGGGGUAACGGCUCACCUAGGCGACGAUCCCUAGCUGGUCUGAGAGGAUGACCAGCCACACUGGAACUGAGACACGGUCCAGACUCCUACGGGAGGCAGCAGUGGGGAAUAUUGCACAAUGGGCGCAAGCCUGAUGCAGCCAUGCCGCGUGUAUGAAGAAGGCCUUCGGGUUGUAAAGUACUUUCAGCGGGGAGGAAGGGAGUAAAGUUAAUACCUUUGCUCAUUGACGUUACCCGCAGAAGAAGCACCGGCUAACUCCGUG